RNAcentral lists this ribosomal RNA (428 nucleotides) under uncultured bacterium. RNAcentral's name for it is "bacterial SSU rRNA". It matches the Rfam family "Bacterial small subunit ribosomal RNA", at positions 355 to 775 of the family's 1533-position model. The record is from RNAcentral.
UAGGGAAUCUUCGGCAAUGGACGGAAGUCUGACCGAGCAACGCCGCGUGAGUGAAGAAGGUUUUCGGAUCGUAAAGCUCUGUUGUAAGAGAAGAACGAGUGUGAGAGUGGAAAGUUCACACUGUGACGGUAUCUUACCAGAAAGGGACGGCUAACUACGUGCCAGCAGCCGCGGUAAUACGUAGGUCCCGAGCGUUGUCCGGAUUUAUUGGGCGUAAAGCGAGCGCAGGCGGUUAGAUAAGUCUGAAGUUAAAGGCUGUGGCUUAACCAUAGUACGCUUUGGAAACUGUUUAACUUGAGUGCAAGAGGGGAGAGUGGAAUUCCAUGUGUAGCGGUGAAAUGCGUAGAUAUAUGGAGGAACACCGGUGGCGAAAGCGGCUCUCUGGCUUGUAACUGACGCUGAGGCUCGAAAGCGUGGGGAGCAAACAG